Molecule: ribosomal RNA, 434 nt
Filed under: uncultured Lachnospiraceae bacterium
Lineage: Bacteria; Bacillati; Bacillota; Clostridia; Lachnospirales; Lachnospiraceae
Description: partial 16S ribosomal RNA
Rfam family: Bacterial small subunit ribosomal RNA
Source: RNAcentral
ACGGGAGGCAGCAGUGGGGGAUAUUGCACAAUGGGGGAAGCCCUGAUGCAGCGACGCCGCGUGAGUGAAGAAGUAUUUCGGUAUGUAAAGCUCUAUCAGCAGGAAAGAUAAUGACGGUACCUGACUAAGAAGCACCGGCUAAAUACGUGCCAGCAGCCGCGGUAAUACGUAUGGUGCAAGCGUUAUCCGGAUUUACUGGAUGUAAAGGGAGCGCAGACGGCAUGGCAAGCCAGAUGUGAAAGGCAGGGGCUCAACUCCUGGACUGCAUUUGGAACUGUCAAGCUAGAGUAUCGGAGAGGUAAGUGGAAUUCCUAGUGUAGCGGUGAAAUGCGUAGAUAUUAGGAGGAACACCAGUGGCGAAGGCGGCUUACUGGACGAUAACUGACGUUGAGGCUCGAAAGCGUGGGGAGCAAACAGGAUUAGAUACCCUGGUA